GACGAACGCUGGCGGCGUGCUUAACACAUGCAAGUCGAACGAAGAGCGGUGGAAGUUGGCUUCUUUAAAUCUUAGUCGCGAGGGGGAGUGUAACGCGUAAUCCACCUGUACUUGAGUGGGGACAACAGGGGGAAACGACUGCUAUUACGGCAAACAUACUAAACUCGGUAGUUCGGAUAUAAGAAAGGGGGCUUCUACAUGUAAGCGAUCACUGAGGGCGGCGAUUGCGGCUGGUUAGGUAGAUGGCGUGGUAAGGGCACAACCAGGCGAUGAUCGGUAGGCGGUCUGAGAGGAUGGACGGCCACAUUGGGACUGGGACACGGCCCAGACUCCUACGGGAGGCAGCAGUGGGGAAUCUUUCGGAAUAGACGGAAGUCUGACGGAGCAACGCCGCGGGAGGGGUGACGGCCUUCGGGUUGUAAAGCUCUGUUUAUCGGGGCGAAAGGACUUCUUACAUAUAUAGAGACGGAUUGACGGUACCGGAAUAGAAAGCCACGGCUAACUACGUG
Molecule: ribosomal RNA, 509 nt
Filed under: uncultured bacterium
Lineage: Bacteria
Description: partial 16S ribosomal RNA
Rfam family: Bacterial small subunit ribosomal RNA
Source: RNAcentral